GGGGUUGUGGCUCAGUGGAAGAGCACUUGCCUAGCAUGUAUGAGGCACUGGGUUCGAUUCUCAGCACCACA
This 71-nucleotide transfer RNA is filed under the name Marmota monax (woodchuck). RNAcentral describes it as "tRNA.Ala". It matches the Rfam family "tRNA". Rfam says of the family: Transfer RNA (tRNA) molecules are approximately 80 nucleotides in length. The record is from RNAcentral. Lineage: Eukaryota; Metazoa; Chordata; Mammalia; Rodentia; Sciuridae.